GCUUUCCUGUGGUUCAGUCAGUAGAGCAUUGCGCCAACAAUGCAAAGGUUAUGGGUUCAAACCCCAGGGAAAGCA
Molecule: transfer RNA, 75 nt
Filed under: Danionella cerebrum
Lineage: Eukaryota; Metazoa; Chordata; Actinopteri; Cypriniformes; Danionidae
Description: tRNA-Val
Rfam family: tRNA
About the family: Transfer RNA (tRNA) molecules are approximately 80 nucleotides in length. Their secondary structure includes four short double-helical elements and three loops (D, anti-codon, and T loops). Further hydrogen bonds mediate the characteristic L-shaped molecular structure. tRNAs have two regions of fundamental functional importance: the anti-codon, which is responsible for specific mRNA codon recognition, and the 3' end, to which the tRNAs corresponding amino acid is attached (by aminoacyl-tRNA synthetases). tRNAs cope with the degeneracy of the genetic code in two manners: having more than one tRNA (with a specific anti-codon) for a particular amino acid; and 'wobble' base-pairing, i.e. permitting non-standard base-pairing at the 3rd anti-codon position.
Source: RNAcentral